RNAcentral lists this ribosomal RNA (270 nucleotides) under uncultured archaeon. RNAcentral describes it as "partial 16S ribosomal RNA". It matches the Rfam family "Archaeal small subunit ribosomal RNA", at positions 477 to 747 of the family's 1478-position model. The record is from RNAcentral.
CAGCACCUCAAGUGGUCAGGAUGAUUAUUGGGCCUAAAGCAUCCGUAGCCGGCGCUGUAAGUUUUCGGUUAAAUCUGUACGCUCAACGUACAGGCUGCCGGGAAUUCUGCAGCGCUAGGGAGUGGGAGAGGUAGACGGUACUCGGUAGGAAGGGGUAAAAUCCUUUGAUCUAUUGAUGACCACCUGUGGCGAAGGCGGUCUACCAGAACACGUCCGACGGUGAGGGAUGAAAGCUGGGGGAGCAAACCGGAUUAGAUACCCGAGUAGUCC